Malaclemys terrapin pileata is the source of this 2884-nucleotide long non-coding RNA. RefSeq lists it as uncharacterized. The transcript is spliced from 6 exons. Lineage: Eukaryota; Metazoa; Chordata; Testudines; Emydidae. The record is from RefSeq and is a predicted model, not a curated record.
UCCACCCAGACAUUAGACCACAAAGAAAUGCUUGAGUAUACCGAAAUGAAUGUAAGGUGAAAAAACCCAUACCGAGGGCCACUUGUCUCACAGGAGCUGUGCAGAGACCAUCCAGUUCACUGACUACUCCAUGGAACUCAAGAACAACCGUCAUUAGAGAGGAUAAAGGGAAGCAAUCUGUAGCCUCCUCUCUCCCCCACCCCCUGCAGUUUCUCAUCUCAAUAGGCACACAGGGCUGCCUUGUCAGAACACACUGAACAACAACUGCCUAUUCACUCAUAGAAAGGUUUUCCGUAAGUGUCCCAUUAAUGUACUGGCCCUAUGCUGGAAUGUGAGAUUUGAUGGGCUCAAAUACAGAGAAAUUUUGUUGUAAGGACUCAAGCAUCUUGUGCAAAGCUUUCAAAAUGUAAGCAGGCGCUGUGAGCUGUAGUAUUGGUAUACCAUCAAGUAAAAGAACAGCAGAGGAAAAUAUAUCGAAAAUGUAAAAAGAAUUAAUAUGAAAUCUAGACUUAGUUUUAUCAUAUGAGGGUUAGCCACUGUUUUACUGACCUACAUCAAUUGAGGAUUACAGAGAUUAGUGAAAGGAAUACUUAAUAGCUGAACUGUGGAUUCCAAAGAGGAUUAUCUGAUGGGACAACUGAGGAAGUUAAAGAGAGAAAUGACCUACCCAAGUCACAAAACAAGUCAAUCCAGGAGUAGAACUCAAGAGCUUUGGCUCACAGCUCCACAUGCUUACUUUGGACCAUGCUACCUUGCUGCCAAUAUACUACAGUAAUAACAAUUUACUGCACAUCUCAAUAAAGUGCACUAUGUUCUGUGUACUUAAGCAGAACAAUGCAUUUUUUUCUCAUUAAUACUAAGUCUAUUUGUUGCUCAGCAGGACUAAUAUUUAUACAUUCUGGAUCUUGUGAUGAAGUAGUAAGCUCUGAUUUCAGUUAAAUCUGACAGGUUCUGAUAGCAAAAUGUCAUUAUAGAACUUCAAAAGCACUUGCUCCAUAGCAAGAUCUUUACAAUUAUCUACAUAAUAUCUUUCAACUCCUGUUGGCUCCUUGAUCUUCUGUGGAAAUCCCAACGCCUCUGCCAGUUUUGGUUUAUGAAAAGUUGACCAUUAAGGCAUAACUAUUUUAAAAAAGAUAUGCCAAAAUGUUACAAGAUUUUACCCAGUUUGAUAUCCUUUCUGGAAUACGCACUUAAUAAAAAUUGCAUUUUUACUAAGUAAUUGGCCAUAUGAGUCAUGUGCUAUUCAUGUAUUGUUCAUGAAUCAAACCAAGAGCCAUUUAAAAAUGACUAGCAUCAGGAAAACUUAAUAGCUUUUCAACAGAUUAUUUAAAUGACUGUAGCUAUGAUUUCUAAUAAUUUUUAUCCAAACAGCAAGGUUUUAGUAAGCUGUGGCAGGACUCUCUCCAAAAAGAGUAACUUUCUGAUUAAAACCUUUUGUUACUGGAUUUAAGAAAUUAAAGAAAAAAGGGGAACGUCUGAGUUAUGUAUGCAUCUGUCAAAUCCUGGAUCUUUAUAGUGUAACAAUUUGACCAAUCACAGGUAAAAGAACUGGUGGUUUGGGAGGGAUAUAUUUCACUUUAUGAAUCAUAGCUAAUAACGUAGUUAAGUACUUUCUGAACAGGCACUUCCUGCAGACUGACCAAUCUGUAGAUUGUGUUCCUAGUAGUUUCUGGUGCAAUAGUUUGGCAUGCAUGAUGCAUUUGGAGAGUGAUUUGCCAGCAUUCCAGCAACAUAUGCAACUUUAGCUGGGAUUUCUUAUUACAGAUUAGCACCAUUUCGAAUUCCUUGAUUGGUUGAUUGUCUAUACUAUAAAGCCAGGUGUAUUUCACAGCAUCAGCUAUAUUCACCUAUUUCUUUUCUUGUUGUUGUGGUUUGAAUCCUUGAUCUGAUUUUGCCAAUGGCUACCUGGCCUCUCAACACAGUGUUGCUUUUCAGGAAUAUUUUCUAAUAAUGACAACUGUAGUUAACAUUUAUAUUUAUACUGUACAAUUAUACUUAACUAUUUAAAAUUUCAAAAAGAUGCAAAACAUUCAUUAAUUUGACAAAUAAAAUCACUAUGGGGUAGACAAAUAGGAUCAUUAUCCCCAUGUUAUAGAUGAGGAAACUGAGGCUGAAAGAUUAAAUGUCUUGCCCAGUGUCACAUGGGAAGUCUAGUGGCAGAAAGAGGGUUAAACUGAAAGUUACCCCUUCUAGGUGCAUUUCUCGAGACCAGGGUCUCUCAUAUUUGUUUAAUAAUAUAGACCACAUCUUAGUAGAGGGAUUCACUUGUGGACUCCUCCCUUCUCACUCAGGAUCCCAUGUGAUCUUAACUGCAGAAAUUGUUUAUAAAGAAAAAUAGUAUUAGGAAAGUGCCAGCCUGAUGUGACCAGCCAACAACUCCCCGGUCAUCAGCAAGUACUCUGUGGACCACCAGCAGUUCACUGAUCACAGUCUGAGAAUCACUACUUUAGCACUAUAUCUUGAGUUUUAUUACUCUAGGUCACAUUGACUCGUGGUACAGCAAUGUUAACUAAUCCUUUAUUAAACAAUUCUCCAAGCACAAAUAAAGCAUUUGGGUUGUUAACAUACAUAAGUUAUAUUAAAGAAGGUUUCAGAUCAGCACAUUGUAUUUUGUAGCAAAGUCAUAAAAUAUGCUAACAUGAUAACAUCUAAUGAGGGAAAUGUUACAUGCAGAUGUCUGUUUGCCUAUUAUCCCAUAAAAUGACUGUAUAUUUUUAUUUAUAUGAGUAACAUCAGACACAAAUGUGUUACCAUAAAUGCAUUCAUUUAGGAAAAAGUAUAAACACAAUAUGAAUCUAAUAUAUAUGUAAAACUGUUUUAAAACCUGAUAUUUAAUGUUUAUAAAAAGAAUAAAGAUGAAAAAAAUGUCCAUAAUUACAUUUUU